GCACGCCAUAUGCUGCAGCCAAUUACCCAGGCCCAGCAGAUCAUUAUUCCUGACCAUACCAGAGCAACAAAUUUGCAGAUUGCAGGCACAUUUCACCACAAAUUUGCUAUGCUCAUCAGUCAUCACGGUUUCUGCAACAAUGUCAGACAAUGGCUUCUUUUUUCUUUUUCCUUUACAUCAAGAGCAAAAGAAGCAUCAGACAAUGGCUUCUGGAGGUGAAACCCAACUUUUAAUAGAAGGGAAAGCUCAAGAAGCUGUCUUAGUCAGCACCGAUUACACUGGGGUUACUGCUUCUUUUUUUUACAUCAAGAGCAAAACAAGCAUCAGACACCACGCCUCAGAUACGGCUGGUCCUGCCCCAGAAGUACUCCUUCACGAAGGCCACGACGAUCACGACGUUGGGCACGGUGGUGAGCACCACUCCCACCACGGCCACCGGCGGCCGCACCGUCAGCGGGCCCCUCCGCUCCCGCCGCCGGCGCGCGUAGGCCCUGAGCUCGGAGUCGGCCCACCGCUCGGGCGCCGGCUCGAUGGCCGCGGAGGGCACGACCGGCGGCGGGAGCUGGAAGGGGCACCGGGACCGCCAGGACGAGGGCGGGAGGCAGAGGCUCGCCGCGCGCGGGAGGAACACGGAGGCGAGAGCCCAGCGGAGGAGCGAGGCGCCGGGGCAGAGGAACGGCGGGUACGACGUGGUGGAGCCGAGGCCCCGCGGCGGGCACGGGACGCGGGAGGCGAGGAAGAGCUGCGACUGGAGCGACGGCGCGUGGGACGGGUGGGUCAGGACGUGGGUCAGGGCCUCAGUGCGCUGCGCCCAUGUGGGAGUGGGGACGUGAGAGGCGGCCCGGCCUCGGGUACGGGCGUCGGCCUUCGCCAUGUGGGAAGGGAAGGGGAGCGGAGGUGAGAGGCGGCGGCGGAGGCCGGAGCUAGGACCUGGAGGCUGGGGCGGUCGUGGAGCGGAGGUGACAGGAUAAGGAUGUUUGGAACGUCGCCAAAUUUCUCCGUGUUCCUGCGUUUU
This 1015-nucleotide unclassified non-coding RNA is filed under the name Zea mays. RNAcentral describes it as "misc RNA Zm00001eb079810". The record is from RNAcentral. Lineage: Eukaryota; Viridiplantae; Streptophyta; Magnoliopsida; Poales; Poaceae.